UGGGGAAUAUUGGACAAUGGGCGAAAGCCUGAUCCAGCCAUGCCGCGUGUGUGAAGAAGGUCUUCGGAUUGUAACGCACUUUAAGUUGGGAGGAAGGGCAGUAAGCGAAUACCUUGCUGUUUUGACGUUACCGACAGAAUAAGCACCGGCUAACUCUGUGCCAGCAGCCGCGGUAAUACAGAGGGUGCAAGCGUUAAUCGGAUUUACUGGGCGUAAAGCGCGCGUAGGUGGUUCGUUAAGUUGAAUGUGAAAGCCCCGGGCUCAACCUGGGAAAUGCAUCCAAAACUGGCGAGCUAGAGUAGGGCAGAGGGUGGUGGAAUUUCCUGUGUAGCGGUGAAAUGCGUAGAUAUAUGAAGGAACACCAGUGGCGAAGGCGACCACCUGGGCUCAUACUGACACUGAGGUGCGAAAGCGUGGGGAGCAAACAGG
RNAcentral lists this ribosomal RNA (429 nucleotides) under Pseudomonadota bacterium. RNAcentral describes it as "Proteobacteria bacterium partial 16S ribosomal RNA". It matches the Rfam family "Bacterial small subunit ribosomal RNA", at positions 355 to 776 of the family's 1533-position model. Lineage: Bacteria; Pseudomonadati; Pseudomonadota. The record is from RNAcentral.